UCUUUGGUAAUAAUGCAACUAUUCUUAGGAAGAAGUAUUCAGUCACUCAUCUGUAAAGGGAUUCAUUAUAUAGAACUGUUAACCAAGAGAAACAACUAUCUCAUUGCCCGCUUAGGCAAAUGGGAGACUGGGAAUCUGGACAGAGCGUGAGUGAACAGAAUGAAGAUGACAAGAAAGGGAAAGAAAGCUCUUUUCACCCUUACAAACCCUGUAAGAGAGGAACAAAACGGACACAGCAGUUCUGUGCUUCGCCUUCCAAAGUAAGCAACAGGACCAACAUCCGAAGCAAUAUCCGAGGCCACUGCACCCAGCAUCAGAGGUUGUAAUGACCCCAUUGUAGACCCUCACCACCAACAACGCUCCUAUGUAGUAGGCAUAACAUGUUCUAUGAAAGCAAGACCAUGGGAGGAACUGGCACGUGUGUUUGGGAAGAGAAAAAGGUUAUUGAGUGCCCACUAUGUGUCAGGCACUAAGCCGAGCGCUUCCACAUAUUAAUGUUUUACACUUGAGUUUUCACUAACAGCUCUAGUCUGUACUGUUAAUAAAAGAUAAAGAAAUCCAG
Long non-coding RNA from Nomascus leucogenys (northern white-cheeked gibbon), 562 nucleotides. RefSeq lists it as uncharacterized. The record is from RefSeq and is a predicted model, not a curated record. The transcript has 3 exons. Lineage: Eukaryota; Metazoa; Chordata; Mammalia; Primates; Hylobatidae.